Molecule: long non-coding RNA, 266 nt
Filed under: Rosa chinensis
Lineage: Eukaryota; Viridiplantae; Streptophyta; Magnoliopsida; Rosales; Rosaceae
Description: sRNA RchiOBHm_Chr3g0454401
Source: RNAcentral
CGCGUCGAUGCACGAUACGUGGAAGGCGUGAUAGCAGAGAGGGAGUAGCCGGAGCUGGUUGUCGUGCUGGAACUUCGAGAGGCAGACGGCGCAGUCGGUGGCGACGACCGCAGUGGAGGAGUCUCGGCGGUGCUUGAUGGCGGAGAAGGCGAAGACCGGGAGCGAGGCGACGGGAUCGGCGGCCGUAGCGGAUUCGGCAGGAGAUACUCUAUCGGGGGCGUCGUCGCCGGAAGAGGGAGUUCGGGUCGGAUGUGAAGAGCGGGUCG